RNAcentral lists this ribosomal RNA (579 nucleotides) under uncultured bacterium. RNAcentral describes it as "bacterial SSU rRNA". It matches the Rfam family "Bacterial small subunit ribosomal RNA", at positions 338 to 916 of the family's 1533-position model. The record is from RNAcentral.
CCUACGGGAGGCAGCAGUAAGGAAUAUUGGACAAUGGGCGAAAGCCUGAUCCAGCCAUGCCGCGUGAAGGAUUAAGGCCCUCUGGGUUGUAAACUUCUUUUAUAGGGGACGAAAAAAGGGAAUUCUUUCCCUCCUGACGGUACCCUAUGAAUAAGCACCGGCUAACUCCGUGCCAGCAGCCGCGGUAAUACGGAGGGUGCAAGCGUUAUCCGGAUUCACUGGGUUUAAAGGGUGCGUAGGCGGGUAGGUAAGUCAGUGGUGAAAUCUCGAAGCUUAACUUCGAAACUGCCAUUGAUACUAUUUAUCUUGAAUAUUGUGGAGGUUUGCGGAAUAUGUCAUGUAGCGGUGAAAUGCUUAGAUAUGACAUAGAACACCUAUUGCGAAGGCAGCAGGCUACGCAUAUAUUGACGCUGAGGCACGAAAGCGUGGGGAUCAAACAGGAUUAGAUACCCUGGUAGUCCACGCCCUAAACGAUGAUUACUCGACAUUUGUGAUACACUAUAAGUGUCUGAGCGAAAGCAUUAAGUAAUCCACCUGGGAAGUACGACCGCAAGGUUGAAACUUCAAAGGAAUUGACGG